CGGUAUUCUGGCUCAGGAUGAACGCUAGCUACAGGCUUAACACAUGCAAGUCGAGGGGCAGCAUUGGGAUAGCUUGCUAUUCAGAUGGCGACCGGCGCACGGGUGAGUAACGCGUAUCCAACCUUCCUGCCAGUAGGGAACAGCCCGGCGAAAGUCGGAUUAAUGCCCUAUGUUCUUCAAUGCGGACAUCUAAGUUGAAGGAAAGAUUCAUCGCUGGCAGAUGGGGAUGCGUCCGAUUAGCUUGCCGGCGGGUAACGGCCCACCGGGGCGACGAUCGGUAGGGGUUCUGAGAGGAAGGUCCCCACACUGGUACUGAGACACGGACCAGACUCCUACGGGAGGCAGCAGUGAGGAAUAUUGGUCAAUGGGCGUAAGCCUGAACCAGCCAAGUAGCGUGCAGGAAUGACGGCCCUACGGGUUGUAAGCUGCUUUUAUGCGGGGAUAAAGUGCGGCACGUGUGCCGCUUUGCAGGUACCGCAUGAAUAAGGACCGGCUAAUUCCGUGCCAGCAGCGGC
Molecule: ribosomal RNA, 515 nt
Filed under: uncultured bacterium
Lineage: Bacteria
Description: bacterial SSU rRNA
Rfam family: Bacterial small subunit ribosomal RNA
Source: RNAcentral